CCCUUAGAUGGUCUGGGCGGCACGCGCGCUACAAUGAUGCAUUCAAAAAGUCUUCUGACCUUAGAAGGUUGGGUAUUCUCCAAAGUGCAUCGUGAUGGGAAUAGUUUAUUGCAAUUUUUAAUCUUGAACGAGGAAUUCCUAGUAAGUACAGGUCAUCAACUUGUGUUGAUUACGUCCCUGCCCUUUGUACACACCGCCCGUCGCUACUACCGAUUGAAUGGUUUAGUGAGGCCUUCGGAUCCGCGACUCGUUUGUGGAGAAGUUGGACAAACUCAGUCAUUUAGAGGAAGUAAAAGUCGUAACA
RNAcentral lists this ribosomal RNA (304 nucleotides) under uncultured eukaryote. RNAcentral's name for it is "partial 18S ribosomal RNA". It matches the Rfam family "Eukaryotic small subunit ribosomal RNA", at positions 1470 to 1796 of the family's 1831-position model. The record is from RNAcentral.